AUGCACCCAUGUCACCGGUGCCUCACCACAAUCCACGAACUGUGCCUCUGCAGCCGGCUUCUGGGAGCCCAGCACGUCGCUGCCCACCAGGAGGAGGAGGAUGCUGCGGAAGAGCUUGUAGGCUUCAUCCAGAGCCGCCUCAGGGGUCUUCGGCCCUGCACCAGGAUGGCCGUGGGUGACGGGGCUGUCCCCCCAGCACCCACCCCCAGCCCCCAAUCAAAUGGGGCUGUUUCAGGGGACAGCCACGCUUAUGCAGGGCUCCAGUGGCUCACCCUGCGUGGAGAUGCGCUGCCUGAGCUCUGGCGAGAGGCGGCUGGGUGGCAGGCUGAGGUAGAGAGCAGUGAGUUGCAAGACUUGUGCUCGGAGCAUGUACCACACCUUGGCCGCCUUCUGCAGAGCCGGGUUCUGGAGCACCUCCAGCAGGAGGGCAAGGCCCUCCUCGACCUGCAGGAGGCAGCAGAGAAGGGAAAAGAGGCACCGGUCACCGCGUGGAGCAUCUUUGGGGCUAACGUGGGCACAGGCCACCAGCAAAAUCGCAGACAGAGCUGCCGAGGUCUCCUCUUGCCCCCUAACACCACACACGAGGCAGAAAAGGGUUUCUGGGAAGACUCACCCGGUUGCUGGCGCAGCACAUCUGGCUGCGGAGCACCAGGCAGGUUUGCUGCAGCAGCAGGUAGGAAUCGCUGCUGCUGUCGGCGUCCUGCAAGCAGGACUCUGUCUCCGCCAGGAAGAGCUGGAAGCCAAACAAGCCGGCGUGAGGGCUGGGGCUGUGGGGAGCAGCCGAGCUGCCCUCCCUCCCCGCUGCUCCCCUGCGGGCCUUGCCUCGGCGUAGCUGUGGCACUCGAGCUGGAGGAGCAGUUUGGUGACCUGGCAGAGGGCGCCGGCCAUGCCCAGCCUGUCCCCAAGCGCGCGGCACAGGGCUCGGACCAGCAGGUAGCUCUCUAUGGCUUGCAAAGGCUGGGGGGGAGAAAAACCCACGGGUGCGUCGAGGGACAAUGCUGGGGGGAGGCCGCUGCCCCCCUGGGCAGCCCCAGCAAUGCUACCUUGGCCAUCAGCCUAUAG
RNAcentral lists this long non-coding RNA (1062 nucleotides) under Anas platyrhynchos platyrhynchos (common mallard). Its description in RNAcentral is "lncRNA (ENSAPLG00000025049.1)". Lineage: Eukaryota; Metazoa; Chordata; Aves; Anseriformes; Anatidae. The record is from RNAcentral.